Molecule: ribosomal RNA, 460 nt
Filed under: uncultured bacterium
Lineage: Bacteria
Description: partial 16S ribosomal RNA
Rfam family: Bacterial small subunit ribosomal RNA
Source: RNAcentral
CCUACGGGAGGCAGCAGUGAGGAAUAUUGGUCAAUGGGCGUGAGCCUGAACCAGCCAAGUAGCGUGAAGGAUGAAUGUUCUAGGGGUCGUAACCCUCUUUUAUAAUGGCAUAAAGUGCGGCACGUGUGCCUUUUUGUAUGUACCUUAUGAAUAAGGAUCGGCUAACUCCAUUCCAGCAGCCGCGGUAAUACGGAGGAUCCGAGCGUUAUCCGGAUUUAUUGGGUUUAAAGGGAGCGUAGAUGGCUUUUUAAGUCAGAUGGGAAAGUCUGUGGCUCAACCUGUGAAUUGCAUUUGAAACUGGCAGUCUUGAGUACGGUUGAGGCAGGCGGAAUUCGUGGUGUAGCGGUGAAAUGCUUAGAUAUCACGAAGAACCCCGAUUGCGAAGGCAGCCUGCUAAGCCGCGACUGACGCUGAUGCACGAAAGUGUGGGGAUCAAACAGGAUUAGAUACCCCUGUAGUC